Molecule: ribosomal RNA, 469 nt
Filed under: uncultured bacterium
Lineage: Bacteria
Description: bacterial SSU rRNA
Rfam family: Bacterial small subunit ribosomal RNA
Source: RNAcentral
UCGAGAAUCUUCCGCAAUGGGCGAAAGCCUGACGGAGCGACACCGCGUGCAGGACGAAGGCCUUCGGGUUGUAAACUGCUGUCACGCUCUAGGAAUGCCAUGCUGUUAAUAGCGGCAUGGUUGACCAAGGCGAGAGGAAGUGGCGGCUAACUCUGUGCCAGCAGCCGCGGUAAGACAGAGGCCACGAACGUUGUUCGGAAUUACUGGGCAUAAAGCGCGCGUAGGCGGCUGGGUCCGUCCGAUGUGAAAGCCCCCGGCUCAACCGGGGAAGUGCAUCGGAUACAGCCCGGCUUGAGGACGGUUGGGGUGAGUGGAACUCCUGGUGGAGCGGUGAAAUGCGUAGAUAUCAGGAGGAACACCGGUGGCGAAAGCGGCUCACUGGACCGUUACUGACGCUGAGGUGCGAAAGCUAGGGGAGCAAACGGGAUUAGAUACCCCAGUAGUCCCUGAGCGGGCUGGCAAGGCGCAU